Varroa destructor (honeybee mite) is the source of this 933-nucleotide long non-coding RNA. Lineage: Eukaryota; Metazoa; Arthropoda; Arachnida; Mesostigmata; Varroidae. The record is from RefSeq and is a predicted model, not a curated record.
UCAGUGAGAACUCAAUGUAUCAUAGUAUACAUGUCUGCGGAAGUUAAUCGUGUUAAUCACUUGCAACAUACAAAGAUUACCGGACAGCCUCGCCUUGGUUCCAUGACGCUUUCCACAGAUAAACUUUGCCAGGCUGAAAUUUCUAGCAAGGAAUACAAUGAUAUUAUACUACUCCCAAUGGCGUCCGAGAACUGACUUGUUGGGAUAAGCAGCGUAAUAUUCCGAAUUGGAUUUAACAAAAGUUCAACGAAUAGUCCAAAUUGUAUCCUUCGAUCGUUGAACAUUACAAACUGUUAGUCAAUAGCCACACGGAUCAAAUGUAGACAAUUUUAAGUUUCGAACCUCAGCACGUUCCCGGAGUGUUUCUACGGAUAAGUCGAUUUAAUCGUCAAAGUAACAGAACUCAACAAUGGAUUUCGAACGCUCAACAAAUCUGUCCAAAGACGCCUUAGAAGAGGCAUUGACCACAAGCCUCAUACUGCCUACUCCUAGUUAACGGCUCCUUCAAUAAAAACGUGACAUGCAUUAAGGUCGUAUGAACAACAGUUAAGAGUGGAAAUGAACCAAGCAUGUGUAUCAACGUAUGAAGAAACAUUUCUCAAGUUAGUGGAUAAGGUGUCUGAAGGCUAUUUAGCUUACGACUCUAUAGCAAGCAAAAAUCCACAGGAGAACUAGGAGGCGUACGUCUAACUUUGUGAAAGGUUGGCGGACGUCUGCCAAUGCCGCUGGCGAGCAAUUGUCCCUGUGUUAUUAAGUCAAUUUCGAUGCGGUGCUUAUGUAAAGCAUUUAAGGCAGUGCGGCAUUGACGCAAAAAACACGGCGCAAAAAUGGCCUCCGGAGACAAGGGAGCUCGCUGCGGACUUUUCGGAUUUUAUCCUCGUUUUUUACAGGCAAGAUUUGAUCUUUACACGCAUUAAGCAUUGUAGAAAGCUU